AUGCAGGAUCCACUUACAGUGUAGCUGUGAAGUGCUACCCUUUGCCACCUGCUUAAAAUAAAGCUGUUGCCAUUCCAACCCUGUCUGCCCUGUGGCAUAGCAGGAAGGGAGGACUGGCAUCAUACAG
RNAcentral lists this small nucleolar RNA (127 nucleotides) under Echinops telfairi (small Madagascar hedgehog). Its description in RNAcentral is "Small nucleolar RNA SNORA63 (ENSETEG00000024377.1)". The record is from RNAcentral. Lineage: Eukaryota; Metazoa; Chordata; Mammalia; Afrosoricida; Tenrecidae.